This 118-nucleotide ribosomal RNA is filed under the name Pteropus alecto (black flying fox). The record is from RNAcentral. Lineage: Eukaryota; Metazoa; Chordata; Mammalia; Chiroptera; Pteropodidae.
AUCUAUGGCCAUGCUACCUUGAACAAGCCGAUUUUGUCUGAUCUCAGAAGCUAAGCAGGGUAGGGCCUGGUUAGUACUUGGAUGGGGGACCGCCUAGGAAGACCAGGUGCUAUAGGUG